This 203-nucleotide unclassified non-coding RNA is filed under the name soil metagenome. RNAcentral's name for it is "partial contains 5.8S ribosomal RNA, internal transcribed spacer 2, and large subunit ribosomal RNA". The record is from RNAcentral.
AACGCACGAGACCUGCGGACCUGCGGAGGGAUCAUUACCGAGUUUACAACUCCCAAACCCCUGUGAACAUACCACUCGUUGCCUCGGCGGAUCACCGCGCCCCGUGAAACGGGCCGGCCCGCCAGAGGACCUAAACUCAAAUGUUUUAUUGUAUCUUCUGAGUAAAAACACAAAUAAAUCAAAACUUUCAGCAAUGGAUCUCU